UACGUAGGGUGCAAGCGUUGUCCGGAAUUAUUGGGCGUAAAGAGCUCGUAGGCGGUCUGUCACGUCGGCUGUGAAAACCCGAGGCUCAACCUCGGGCCUGCAGUCGAUACGGGCAGACUAGAGUUCGGUAGGGGAGACUGGAAUUCCUGGUGUAGCGGUGAAAUGCGCAGAUAUCAGGAGGAACACCAAUGGCGAAGGCAGAUCUCUGGGCCGUAACUGACGCUGAGGAGCGAAAGCAUGGGGAGCGAACAGG
RNAcentral lists this ribosomal RNA (253 nucleotides) under uncultured bacterium. RNAcentral describes it as "partial 16S ribosomal RNA". It matches the Rfam family "Bacterial small subunit ribosomal RNA", at positions 524 to 776 of the family's 1533-position model. The record is from RNAcentral.